Molecule: transfer RNA, 73 nt
Filed under: Pteropus alecto (black flying fox)
Lineage: Eukaryota; Metazoa; Chordata; Mammalia; Chiroptera; Pteropodidae
Also listed under: 1 other name
Rfam family: tRNA
About the family: Transfer RNA (tRNA) molecules are approximately 80 nucleotides in length. Their secondary structure includes four short double-helical elements and three loops (D, anti-codon, and T loops).
Source: Rfam by way of RNAcentral
GGUUUCAUAGUGUAGUGGUUAGCACAUCUGCUUUAUACGCAGAAGGUCCUGGGCUUGUGCCCCAGUGGAGCCA